CAAGAGUACGGCGUGGGAGAAUGGCCUCAUCUGGACCACAAUGAAACCUGGGCAUGGCGGAGAAGCAGCGAGGUAUCAGUGACUCGCUUCGUGACGUAUCUUACCCUGUACCCUCCUACCCCGUCCCAUCUCAGAGCACCGCGCGUCGCCUGAGGUGUAGAAUGUGUCUGUGAACUUGUGGGUGUGUGCCCGGCGGCGGUGGUGGAGUUGCGUGUGUGUUGUGGGUACAGAGAGGUUGGAGGCGGCCUUGUAACUACGAUGAAGGAUUUCUGAGGAUAUCGACUCCCUGGCUAACUCAUCCCUCUCUACCUGUCGCCUCGAAGGAUAAAGAACGUUUUGGCCCCAUCUCCUGUAAGCUGACGUCUUCUAAACAGGAUGGCUGGCUGGCUUUGAGGAGAGAGGGCCAGAGGGAGGCUUAUAUACCUUUACCCAAAUUGAAACCGGAAAGUGAAAUUAAUGAAGGGAGAUGCGCGCGCUCCCUCGGCAGAAAAGGAUGAUGGAAGCUUUUGUCGUCUUUUUAAUCAAAUUAGAAUGUGGAUGAAGAAUAAAGAGCGGGAAGGUUACUCACUUUUAGAAGAGAAGAAGGGGGGGGAGAGAAGAUGGACUGGCAUUUCGUUUUAUUGCAAUGAGAGAAGAUGAAUUUUUUUAACUAUGAAGAGUUGUGUUGCUAUAGGGAAGGAAAGGGAAAGAAAAACUAAGAAAAACUAAUGUGUAUCCAGAACAGAGUGGAAGAUAAGUGAAAUAAAUAACAUGGAAACAAAACAAUAAUAAGUGACGUAAAUUAGAAGAAAAAAGAAUGUGAACUGAAUAGACUUAAGAGGAGAAAAAGAAGUUAAUCCAAAAAAAUAAGUGAACUAAAGAAAAUUGGAAUAAAGAGAAGAAAACGGAAUAAAAUCAAAGAAAACGGAACAAAGACAAAGAAAACGGGCUUUCAGUUACUACUACCUCUACUACUAAUACUUGCAACUCCUCUUUAACUGCUACAAAAUCUGAUGUCACCUUCAAGUACCUCAACAGCUACCACUCUCAACCGAUACAACUACUACAAUCACUACUACUACUACUACUACUACUACUACUACUACUACUACAACCACCACCACCAUCGCCACCACG
Long non-coding RNA from Eriocheir sinensis (Chinese mitten crab), 1116 nucleotides. RefSeq lists it as uncharacterized. Lineage: Eukaryota; Metazoa; Arthropoda; Malacostraca; Decapoda; Varunidae. The transcript is spliced from 4 exons. The record is from RefSeq and is a predicted model, not a curated record.